This 234-nucleotide ribosomal RNA is filed under the name uncultured bacterium. RNAcentral's name for it is "partial 16S ribosomal RNA". It matches the Rfam family "Bacterial small subunit ribosomal RNA", at positions 99 to 334 of the family's 1533-position model. The record is from RNAcentral.
CGCACGGGUGAGUAACACGUAUCCAACCUGCCGUCUACUCUUGGACAGCCUUCUGAAAGGAAGAUUAAUACAAGAUGGCAUCAUGAGUCCGCAUGUUCACAUGAUUAAAGGUAUUCCGGUAGACGAUGGGGAUGCGUUCCAUUAGAUAGUAGGCGGGGUAACGGCCCACCUAGUCUUCGAUGGAUAGGGGUUCUGAGAGGAAGGCCCCCACAUUGGAACUGAGACACGGUCCAA